CCUACGGGAGGCAGCAGUGAGGAAUAUUGGUCAAUGGGCGCGAGCCUGAACCAGCCAAGUCGCGUGAGGGAAGACGGUCCUAUGGAUUGUAAACCUCUUUUGUCGGGGAGCAAAAGACGCCACGCGUGGCGUUCCGAGAGUACCCGAAGAAAAAGCAUCGGCUAACUCCGUGCCAGCAGCCGCGGUAAUACGGAGGAUGCGAGCGUUAUCCGGAUUUAUUGGGUUUAAAGGGUGCGAAAGCGGAAGAUCAAGUCAGCGGUAAAAUUGAGGGGCUCAACCUCUUCGAGCCGUUGAAACUGGUUGUCUUGAGUGAACGAGAGGUAUGCGGAAUGCGUGGUGUAGCGGUGAAAUGCAUAGAUAUCACGCAGAACUCCGAUUGCGAAGGCAGCAUACCGGCGCUCAACUGACGCUCAUGCACGAAAGUGUGGGUAUCGAACAGGAUUAGAUACCCCAGUAGUC
This 459-nucleotide ribosomal RNA is filed under the name uncultured bacterium. RNAcentral's name for it is "partial 16S ribosomal RNA". It matches the Rfam family "Bacterial small subunit ribosomal RNA", at positions 338 to 795 of the family's 1533-position model. The record is from RNAcentral.